CAUUAGGUAUGCAUUAGGUACAUAUGUAUUUUGCACAUAUUAUGUAAAUAUAAAUUUAUCGUGAUAACUUCAUAUGUACGCAUGUACAUAUAUAUGCCCGAUAUUAAAACUAUUUACACAUGUAGUAAUAGGUGCAAACUAUGUACCGAUGCACAGCACGCUAUUACCAAAGCCCCCCUUAUAGCAGCCCCCAGGCCCAGCCUGGCUGCUUAGAGACCCCCUGGCAAUUGGGCUGUGCCCACAAACACUGCUCGAAUGCCUGUAGCAGCCCCCAUGCCCACCCUGGCUGCUUAGGGACCCCCUGACUAGGUGUCUGUGCCCACAGCCCAUGCCAGAGUGCCCGUAGCAGCCCCCAGGCCAACCAUGGCUGCUCAGGGACCCCUGGCUGGGUCGAUGUGCUCACAGACCCCACCAAAAAGCCCAGAGCAGCCCCCAGGCCCACCCUGGCUGCUUAGGGGUCCCCUCGCUUGUGGGCUCUGCCCACAGCUGCUGAGGCCCAGCUAUUUUGCAAAUCAGGUGUAAUAUGAUUCUGGCAACCAUAUUAUAUAAAAAUGAUAAUCUUAUUCUGUUUUUUUGUAUAUUAGGCAAUAGCUCCAGUGACACCUCUGCCAUAUUGACAAAAAUGUCAUCCUCACCCCCAUUGACGUUAGAAUGAAAAUCAUAGGGGAGUUUCAUUCCUUGCAAUUCUUAAUUCAAUGUAAUUGUUUUCUUGCUUACAUUAGUGACCAUAUCAAAGCAUGGUGUACACCUCUUGCCGUAUUGAGAGUAUUUCCCUAUGGGCAGCAACAUUUUCCUCUCCUUCUCUGGAUAUUAGGAACAAUAUUCCAGGACCAGAGUACAGCCCCAGUCACGUCGUGGUGAAAAUAUCACAGCACGGUGUACUCCUCUUGCCGUAUUCAGAGGAUAUGCCUAUGGGCAGAAACAUUCCCCUCUCCUUCUCUGGAUAUUAGAAACAUUAUCACAGGACCGGCAAAGAGCCGCAGUCAUAUCGUGAGUAAUGUCAUCUGUAAUCCCCUAGUUAUAAAAAACAACAUCAAGGGGGUCUUGUGCACUUUAUGAGAUACUUAGAGUAAUGUUAGGAUUUGGGUAAUUUACAUGAGGGAGAAUAUUGAGUUGGUGUAUACACUCCAAAACACAGUAGAAAAGGGCAUUGUAUAUUUUUUCUGACAGAUUAUAUUGAGAGCAAUUUUGCUUUUAACAUUGGGGUACCUAGAUAAUAUUUAGAUUUCUUUCGAUUAGCGUAAAUUUAGAAUUUCAGUAUUUUACACAAGAGAGCAUAAUGAAUUGGUGUAUAGACUCCAAAACAGAGUAGAAUAGGGCAUUGUAUAUUAUUUCUGACAGAUCAUAUUCAGAGCAAAUUUGCUUUUAACAUUGGGUUGCCUAGAUAAUAUUUAGAUAUUUUACGAUUCGCGUAAAUUUAGAAUUUCCAUAUUUUAAAUUAUAGAGCAUAUUGAGUUGGUGUAUAUACUCCAAAACAGAGUAGAAAAGCGCAUUUUAUAUGUUUUCUGACAGAUAAUAUUCAGAGCAAUGUUACUGUUAACAUUGGGGUGCCUAGAUAAUAUUUAGAUUUUUUUCGAUUCUCAUAAAUUUAGAAUUUCGGUAUUUUACAUGAGAGAGCAUAUUAAGUUGGUGUAUAUACUCCAAAACAGAGUAGAAAAGUGCAUUGUAUAUUAUUUCUGACAGAUUAUAUUCAGAGUAAUUUUGCUUUUAACAUUGGGGUGCGUAGAUAAUAUUUAGAAUUUUUUCGAUUUGCGUAAAAUCAGAAUUUCGGUAUUUUACAUGAGAGAGCAUAUUGACUUGGUGUAUAUACUCCAAAACAAAGUAGAAUAGCGCAUUGUAUAUUUUUUAUGACAGAUUAUAUUCAGAGAAAUUUUUCUUUUAACAAUGGUGUGCCUAGAUAAUAUUUAGAUUGUUUCGAUUCACGUAAAAUUAGAAUCUCGGUAUUCUACAUGAGAGAGCAUAUUGAGUUGGUGUAUAUAAUCCAAAACAGUGCAGAAAAAAGCAUUGAAUAUUUUUUCUGACAGAUUAUAUUCAGAGAAAUUUUGCUUAUAACAUUGGGGUGCCUAGAUUGUAUUUACAUUUUUUUCGAUUCUUGUAAAUUAGAAUUUCGGUAUUUUACAUGUGAGAGCCUAUUGAGUUGGUGUAUAUACCCCAAAACAGAGUAGAAUAGGGCAUUGUAUAUUUUUUUCUGACAGAUUAUAUUCAGAGCAAUUUUCUUUUAACAUUGCUGUGCCUAGGUAAUAUUUAGAGUUUGUUCGAUUCGCGUGAAAUUUGAAUUUCAGUAUUUUACAUGAGAGAGCAUAUUGAGUUGGUGUAUAUACUCCAAAACAGAGUGGAAUAGAGCAUUGUAUACUUUUUCUGACAGAUUAUAUUCAGAGAAGUUUAGCUUUUUACAUUGGGGUUCUUACAUAUUAUUUAGAUUUUUUUCAAUUGGCGUAAAAUCAGAAUUUCAGUAUUUUACAUGAGAGAACAUAUUGAGUUGGUGUGUAUACUCCAAAACAGAGUAGAAUAAGGCAUUGUAUAUUUUUUUGACAGAUUAUAUUUAUAGCCAUUUUCUUUUAACCUUGGGGUGCCUACAUAAUAUUUAGAAUUUCUUCGAUUUGCGUAAAAUUAGAAUUUUGGUGUUUUACAUGAGAGAGCAUAUUUAGUUGGUGUAUAUACUCCAAAGCAAAGUAGAAAAGGGCAUUGUA
This is a long non-coding RNA of Callithrix jacchus (white-tufted-ear marmoset), 2690 nucleotides long. The record is from Ensembl. NCBI's taxonomy places the organism in Eukaryota, Metazoa, Chordata, Mammalia, Primates, Cebidae.